Syzygium oleosum is the source of this 712-nucleotide long non-coding RNA. RefSeq lists it as uncharacterized. The record is from RefSeq and is a predicted model, not a curated record. The transcript has 2 exons. Lineage: Eukaryota; Viridiplantae; Streptophyta; Magnoliopsida; Myrtales; Myrtaceae.
UGCUCAUCUGAUAGCCACCUGACAUAUUUGUUGCAAGUAUUUAACUGCAGACCUGAUAUGUCCUGCUCAAUGAAGAUUUCCUUUUCCAGCGGAGAAGUAGAAGAGAAGACUUGUCAGCGGUUUGAUCUUCACGUCGUUAUCAAGAAAAGGUACAAAGGUUCCGCGGUUUUAUCCCCAAAGUAGCAGCCAUGCAUUACGGCAGGAGCUUGUAAGAUGACACAAGAUUAUUAUGUUGAAUACCUUGGUAAAUUCAGUUCACGUUAUCGUCUCUUCUUUCUAUCAACAAAUUCAUCCAGGAAAACCGGGGUGGUCAACUUUGUUGUGGGUAGAAGAGGAUACCGACAGGUGAGAUGUAUGGUAUUUUCCUCGACGACACUGUCGUGCUGCAAAAGCUCUUUUCGGUAAACAUCCGUGCGGCGGCCUCGUCAUUUCACCGCCCCAUCUAAUGAAUUGUGAGCUGGAAUUGCCCCCGUUUCGCAUCUCACGUCGCUCAGUGUUAAUCUGCUACGGCCGUGUAUAUAAUGUCGUACUUGUAUGUUUCAUGGUGAAGAUGUAGUGUCUCAAUACUCAUAAACUUUGUCCGAGUAGGAGCUGCACUUGACCCUUCAUUUUUACAGUCAAGAAAGAAAUGACUGUUGGAUGAAAAUGGGGAACUUUCUUUGAUCAUACGCGAGCCGUUGAAAUUUCUAAUGGUAAUAAGAUUUCUUUUGAA